Diceros bicornis minor is the source of this 75-nucleotide small nucleolar RNA. RefSeq annotates it as small nucleolar RNA SNORD113/SNORD114 family. The transcript has a single exon. The record is from RefSeq and is a predicted model, not a curated record. NCBI's taxonomy places the organism in Eukaryota, Metazoa, Chordata, Mammalia, Perissodactyla, Rhinocerotidae.
UAGGGCAAUGAUGAUGACUGGUGGUAUAUGAGUCAUGGGUGAUGAACAAUAUGAGUGUGGAGCUCUGAGGGCCAA